RNAcentral lists this ribosomal RNA (468 nucleotides) under uncultured bacterium. RNAcentral describes it as "partial 16S ribosomal RNA". It matches the Rfam family "Bacterial small subunit ribosomal RNA", at positions 28 to 507 of the family's 1533-position model. The record is from RNAcentral.
GACGAACGCUGGCGGCGUGCUUAACACAUGCAAGUCGAACGGAAAGGCCCUGCUUUUGUGGGGUGCUUGAGUGGCGAACGGGUGAGUAACACGUGAGUAACCUGCCCUUGACUUUGGGAUAACUUCAGGAAACUGGGGCUAAUACCGGAUAGGAGCUCCUGCUGCACGGUGGGGGUUGGAAAGUUUCGGCGGUUGGGGAUGGACUCGCGGCUUAUCAGCUUGUUGGUGGGGUAGUGGCUUACCAAGGCUUUGACGGGUAGCCGGCCUGAGAGGGUGACCGGCCACAUUAGGACUGAGAUACGGCCCAGACUCCUACGGGAGGCAGCAGUGGAGAAUAUUGCACAAUAGGCGGAAGCCUGAUGCAGCGACGCCGCGUGCGGGAUGACGGCCUUCGGGUUGUAAACCGCUUUCGCCUGUGACGAAGCGUGAGUGACGGUAAUGGGUAAAGAAGCACCGGCUAACUACGUG